This is a non-coding RNA of Triticum aestivum (bread wheat), 135 nucleotides long. The record is from Rfam. Lineage: Eukaryota; Viridiplantae; Streptophyta; Magnoliopsida; Poales; Poaceae.
AUUAUACUCCUUCUGUCCCAAAAUACUUGUCAUCAAAAUGGAUCAAAAAAGAUGUAUCUAAAACUAAAAUAUGUCUAGAUACAUCCCCUUUUGUCCAUUUUGAUGACAAGUAUUUCCGGACGGAGGGAGUAGAUA